GGAUUAGAUACCCUGGUAGUCCAUGCCCUAAACGAUGUGUACUAGAUCGUGGGGGUUUUGACGCCAUCACGGUCGAAGCUAACGUGUUAAGUACACCGCCUGGGGAGUACGGUCGCAAGGCUAAAACUCAAAGGAAUUGACGGGGGCUCACACAAGCGGUGGAGCAUGUGGCUUAAUUCGAAACAACGCGAAGAACCUUAUCCAGGGCUUGACAUCCACGGAUUAGCUUCCCGAAAAGGAAGUGACGAGUUUUACUUGGAACGUGGACAGGUGCUGCAUGGCUGUCGUCAGCUCGUGCCG
This 300-nucleotide ribosomal RNA is filed under the name uncultured bacterium. Its description in RNAcentral is "bacterial SSU rRNA". It matches the Rfam family "Bacterial small subunit ribosomal RNA", at positions 775 to 1067 of the family's 1533-position model. The record is from RNAcentral.